This 292-nucleotide ribosomal RNA is filed under the name uncultured Scutellospora. RNAcentral's name for it is "partial 18S ribosomal RNA". It matches the Rfam family "Eukaryotic small subunit ribosomal RNA", at positions 548 to 843 of the family's 1831-position model. The record is from RNAcentral. Lineage: Eukaryota; Fungi; Glomeromycota; Glomeromycetes; Diversisporales; Gigasporaceae.
UUGGAGGGCAAGUCUGGUGCCAGCAGCCGCGGUAAUUCCAGCUCCAAUAGCGUAUAUUAAAGUUGUUGCAGUUAAAAAAGCUCGUAGUUGAAUUUCGGGGUUCUACCGUUGGUCGGGCUAACCAGUCUGUACUAGCGUGUAGAAUUCCUACCUUCUGGGGAACCAUCAUGUUAUUAAUUUAGCGUGGUGGGAAACCAGGACCUUUACCUUGAAAAAAUUAGAGUGUUCAAAGCAGACUUACGUCUGAAUACAUUAGCAUGGAAUAAUAAAAUAGGACGGUGGUCCUGUUUUG